Molecule: ribosomal RNA, 603 nt
Filed under: Odorrana geminata (geminated cascade frog)
Lineage: Eukaryota; Metazoa; Chordata; Amphibia; Anura; Ranidae
Description: partial 16S ribosomal RNA
Rfam family: Archaeal large subunit ribosomal RNA (bases 347-595)
Source: RNAcentral
UUAUUUGAAACAGGAUACAACCUCUGCCAUCGGGUAAACAAGGGUGCCCAAAACAAAGUCGGCCUAAAAGCAGCCACCUUCUAAAAAGCGUCAAAGCUUAACUAUUCUGACCCAUAAUCUCUAAAAUUCUCCCAAACCCAUCAUUACUACUGAACCCUUUUAUACCACUAUAAAAACUAUUAUGCUAGAACUAGUAACAAGAAGUCGUCCUUCUCCAUAAUGUAAACAUAAACCAAAACGGACUCCCCAUUGGUAAUUAACGUAAAUGCAAAAAUCAUAGUAACACAUAGCCAGAAAAACCUAUGACCCACCCCCACGUUACCCUGACACUAGAACAUUACAGGAAAGAUUAAAAGAGAAAGAAGGAACUCGGCAAAUUUUAGCCCCGCCUGUUUACCAAAAACAUCGCCUCUUGACUAAACAUAAGAGGUCCAGCCUGCCCAGUGACAAAAUUCAACGGCCGCGGUAUACUAACCGUGCGAAGGUAGCAUAAUCACUUGUUCUUUAAAUAGGGACUAGUAUCAACGGCAUCACGAGGGCUAUACUGUCUCCUCCCUCCAAUCAGUGAAACUGAUCUCCCCGUGAAGAAGCGGGGAUUUAACU